GCAUAUCAAAAGCGGAGGAAAAGAAACUAACAAGGAUUCCCCUAGUAGCGGCGAGCGAAGCGGGAAGAGCUCAAAUUUAUAAUCUGGCACCUUCGGUGUCCGAGUUGUAAUCUCUAGAAGUGUUUUCCGCGUUGGACCGCACACAAGUCUGUUGGAAUACAGCGGCAUAGUGGUGAAACCCCCGUAUAUGGUGCGGACGCCCAGCGCUUUGUGAUACACUUUCAAUGAGUCGAGUUGUUUGGGAAUGCAGCUCAAAUUGGGUGGUAAAUUCCAUCUAAAGCUAAAUAUUGGCGAGAGACCGAUAGCGAACAAGUACCGUGAGGGAAAGAUGAAAAGCACUUUGGAAAGAGAGUUAACAGUACGUGAAAUUGUUGGAAGGGAAACGCUUGAAGUCAGACUUGCUUGCCGGAGCUUGCUUCGGUUUGCAGGCCAGCAUCAGUUUUCCGGGGUGGAUAAUGACGGUUUGAAGGUAGCAGUCUCGGCUGUGUUAUAGCUUUCCGUUGGAUACAUCCUGGGGGACUGAGGAACGCAGCGUGCUUUUUGCGAAAGACUCGUCUUUUCACGCUUAGGAUG
Molecule: ribosomal RNA, 573 nt
Filed under: Rhodotorula babjevae
Lineage: Eukaryota; Fungi; Basidiomycota; Microbotryomycetes; Sporidiobolales; Sporidiobolaceae
Description: partial large subunit ribosomal RNA
Rfam family: Eukaryotic large subunit ribosomal RNA
Source: RNAcentral